AUAGUUUUAGCAAACUUACACACCGUUUCAACAUUAAGUUUAGUGACCUCUGAUUGGCGUAAGUGUUGGUCAUUACUGCCGACGUGAAUAACAAUCAUACCAUACUUAGCCUUAGCCAGCAGUUUCAGAUAAGAUUGGUUGUCACCCGCACUGGCCCCUGGAAUGCAUCUAACUAUGGUCACUGGUUUCUCUAACUUCACUUUCCGCAAAAUAGAGUCACCAAUUACCAGAGUUAGCUUCUUAGCGGGUGUGUCGCCGAGUGGGGAAAAUCUGUUAGAAACAUGAAGCGGUUGGUGCAGCUCCGUGGGCCGGAGCAAGAAAAUAUCCAUGGUGCCAAUCCAUGGUGGCUGAAAUGUUGUCAGAGGACAGAGGACGUCUCCACUGCCGACAGUGGAAACAGGUCGCCAGUCUGUCGCAGGGCUAACACAGAGACAAUCAAAUCAUUCACACUAACACUCACACCUAUGGUCAAUUUAGAGUCACCAGUUAGCCUAACAAGCAUGUCUUUGGAGGUGGGAGGAAACCAGAGUACCCAGAGAAAACCCACAUAGACACAGGGAAAACAUGCAAACUCCACCCAUAAAGUGUUCCUGUUUCCCCAAAUGUAUUAAAUAAAUAAUUGAGUCAACAAUUUUCUUCUUUUCUGUAGUUACUUUAAAUGUUUUAGAAUAUGGGUCAAUUCUCUUGUUGAUGGGUAAUAUUAAAACAUAGUGAAGUAUUAAAAUUGGCCACUGUAAAUUCAUAUUCUCACUGUACAAUAUUACCUACCAUUAAUACUGUAUUGCCAUAAACAAUAACAUUGUAAAACAACAGUGCUUAACUGUUUUCAUUUGUACAGUUAAUAAACCAGCAC
Molecule: long non-coding RNA, 853 nt
Organism: Mugil cephalus (flathead mullet)
Lineage: Eukaryota; Metazoa; Chordata; Actinopteri; Mugiliformes; Mugilidae
Exons: 2
Source: RefSeq, a predicted model, not a curated record